This is a non-coding RNA of Mycena vulgaris, 92 nucleotides long. Lineage: Eukaryota; Fungi; Basidiomycota; Agaricomycetes; Agaricales; Mycenaceae. The record is from the annotation of a GenBank genome assembly.
GGCGGGGUAGCACACGGUGGGUGUGCGUCAGGGCAAAAUUGUGGUGUUUGGACGUUGAUCUGAAGGCGCCUGCUCGACUCAGGCCCCCGCCA